RNAcentral lists this ribosomal RNA (402 nucleotides) under uncultured bacterium. RNAcentral describes it as "partial 16S ribosomal RNA". It matches the Rfam family "Bacterial small subunit ribosomal RNA", at positions 360 to 776 of the family's 1533-position model. The record is from RNAcentral.
AAUUUGGGACAAUGUGGGAAACCCUGACCCAGCAACGCCGCGUGAAGUAUGAAGGCUUUCGGUUUGUAAACUUCUUUGAUCAGGGAAGAAACAAAUGACGGUACCUGAAGAACAAGCCACGGCUAACUACGUGCCAUCAGACGCGGUAAUACGUAGGUGGCAAGCGUCAUCCGGAUUUACUGGGUGUAAAGGGCGUGUAGGCGGUUCUGCAAGUCGGGUGUGAAAUUUCCGGGCUUAACCCGGACGGGUCACCCGAAACUGCGGAACUUGAGUACUGGAGAGGAUAGUGGAAUUCCUAGUGUAGCGGUAAAAUGCGUAGAUAUUAGGAGGAACACCAGUGGCGAAGGCGGCUAUCUGGACAGUAACUGACGCUGAGGCGCGAAAGCGUGGGGAGCAAACAGG